RNAcentral lists this long non-coding RNA (463 nucleotides) under Mytilus galloprovincialis (Mediterranean mussel). The record is from RNAcentral. Lineage: Eukaryota; Metazoa; Mollusca; Bivalvia; Mytilida; Mytilidae.
CCAAAUUGUUAAUUGACAAAUAGAGUGAUACUCAGUACUUUCUAUUACCUUUAAUGAUAAAAUCUCAAAUGAACAAUAUUCAAAGUUCCUUACAUGUAUAUAAGUAGUACAUUUAAUUUUUUUUUUGUGUUUAUUGAUAUAAGAUCUUGAAAUAUUUUUUAACUAGAGUAUUAAAGGAUUGUGUACGAUAUUCGUGUACCUGCUCUACAUUGGCUCCUUUUUAAGGGCAUGUAAAAGUAGUUGAUAGAACCCCUUAAUUUUUUUUUACGAAACACCUCUAUCACAAAGAUCGAAAGUGUAUGUUUGAUUGUUUCGAAAAGACUCCAAUUAGUUUUUUUUAAAUGAAGUAUGGUCUUAUUAUUUAAUAAGCUCGGGAUCACAUAACAUUUUUUGAUAUAUCUGCAGAUGCGGAUACGUCAACGUAUACGAUACGGCUGAUACGUUUGUAAAUGACCGACCUCUA